RNAcentral lists this unclassified non-coding RNA (241 nucleotides) under Lecanora subcarnea. RNAcentral's name for it is "partial contains 5.8S ribosomal RNA, internal transcribed spacer 2, and large subunit ribosomal RNA". The record is from RNAcentral. Lineage: Eukaryota; Fungi; Ascomycota; Lecanoromycetes; Lecanorales; Lecanoraceae.
CGCACAUUGCGCCCCUUGGUAUUCCGGGGGGCAUGCCUGUCCGAGCGUCAUUUGCACCCCUCAAGCGUGGCUUGGUAUUGGGUCUCGCCCUCCGCGGGCGGGCCCGAAAGUCAGUGGCGGUCCGGCGAGUCUCCGAGCGUAGUAAAAUUUUCCCGCUCUGGAGACCUCUUCGGGCUUCGCCAGAACACAUCAAUCUUCAAUGGUUGACCUCGGAUCAGGUAGGGAUACCCGCUGAACUUAA